Molecule: ribosomal RNA, 368 nt
Filed under: uncultured bacterium
Lineage: Bacteria
Description: bacterial SSU rRNA
Rfam family: Bacterial small subunit ribosomal RNA
Source: RNAcentral
AACGAACGCUGGCGGCAUGCCUAACACAUGCAAGUCGAACGGGAUCCUGGUUUCGGCCAGGUGAGAGUGGCGGACGGGUGAGUAACGCGUGGGAACCUGCCCAGUGGUGGGGGAUAACUGCGGGAAACUGCAGCUAAUACCGCAUGAGCCCGCAAGGGGAAAGAUUGAUCGCCAUUGGAGGGGCCCGCGUUCGAUUAGGUAGUUGGUGAGGUAACGGCUCACCAAGCCUACGANCGAUAGCUGGUCUGAGAGGAUGAUCAGCCACACUGGGACUGAGAUACGGCCCAGACUCCUACGGGAGGCAGCAGGUGGGGAAUAUUGGACAAUGGGGCAACCCUGAUCCAGCAAUGCCGCGUGAGUGAUGAAGG